This 429-nucleotide ribosomal RNA is filed under the name Chloroflexota bacterium. RNAcentral describes it as "Chloroflexi bacterium partial 16S ribosomal RNA". It matches the Rfam family "Bacterial small subunit ribosomal RNA", at positions 355 to 776 of the family's 1533-position model. Lineage: Bacteria; Bacillati; Chloroflexota. The record is from RNAcentral.
UGGGGAAUAGUGCACAAUGGGCGCAAGCCUGAUGCAGCCAUGCCGCGUGUAUGAAGAAGGCCUUCGGGUUGUAAAGUACUUUCAGCGGGGAGGAAGGGAGUAAAGUUAAUACCUUUGCUCAUUGACGUUACCCGCAGAAGAAGCACCGGCUAACUCCGUGCCAGCAGCCGCGGUAAUACGGAGGGUGAAAGCGUUAAUCGGAAUUACUGGGCGUAAAGCGCACGCAGGCGGUUUGUUAAGUCAGAUGUGAAAUCCCCGGGCUCAAACUGGGAACUGCAUCUGAUACUGGCAAGCUUGAGUCUCGUAGAGGGGGGUAGAAUUCCAGGUGUAGCGGUGAAAUGCGUAGAGAUCUGGAGGAAUACCGGUGGCGAAGGCGGCCCCCUGGAAGAAGACUGACGCUCAGGUGCGAAAGAGUGGGGAGCAAACAGG